UGUAAAUGUAACUGAAAAAAGCCCCGCUCGCUGACAACCUCUUCAUCACUGACUAGCUAAUGAGUGAUGACUGAGAGAGAGCCAUGGCGGCCACCGUCUCCCACCUCCCCGCCUUCCUCUCCGUCUUCUCUCAGAAGAAUCUCUUCCUCGUCGACCCCCAACACCAAUCCACUCUCAGAUUCACCGCCCAGCAACGCCGCCCAGAGCCGCCGCACUUCACGCUUCAAGCUUCUUCCGUCAAGAAGAAAACCAGUAGGAAGGUAAAGAGCAAUGCCGAGCUCUGCAAUGAACUCCGGCAGUUCCUCACUGCCGUCGGACUUCCGGAAUGUCACGUUCCGUCCUUGAAGGAGCUCUCGCAGCGCGGAAGGGAUGACCUUGCAAACAUUGUCAGACGGAGAGGAUAUAAACUUAUAAGAGAGCUUCUUGCGGACUCAAGCAAAAAAGAUACAAUUGGUAAGGCCGAUAAUGUGUUUGCUGGAAUUCAGGAUGCAAUUGAUGAUCGUAAGAAGAUAGUAACAGGUCAGGAUCAAGAGGUGAAUGAUUCGGUUGAGGAUUUCUCUUCGUCAAUUGAAGUUUCAGUCUUGGAAACUAAUUCUGGUAGUUUGAUUUCUCAUCCCGAUCCGAGCCGUGAUGACAGUGGUUGUUUAACUGUGGAAUCUUCAGCUGAUUUGUAUAAUUUAGAAGGUCAUAGUGAGAAGGUGGAUAAUGUGAAUGGAAGUGGUUCUGUGCCAACCAAAUUUUCUGUAAUGGAAAACCAAUCCAGGAGUUCUGAAAUUGGUCCACCCUUCAACUCUGACAUUGAUAGUAAUACGCCUUCAGAAAUUUCCACCCCUUCAUCCUUGGGCGAACCUGAUGAUCUAUCCUUGCCAACUACUGUUCACAUCAAAGAAGCCAAUACUUGUAGUAGUUCAAACGUUGGAUUGGAUCCGAACUCUGAUGGAUGUCCUGGCAUGCCUGUAGAGCCUGCUGAUGGUUUAUCAUUGGAUGGAAAGGUCUUAGUUAUAUGUCAGGAUGGGAAGGUUGACAAUAUGAUUGAUGAAGAUUCCUCUUCAGCCGUAGUUUCCGGUUUGGAAGACCAUUCUAGUUCAAAUCUUGAAUCAAGUCACAACUCUGAUUACCAUUACCCACCCUUAGAAUCUCCACCCAAUUUAUCCUUAAAGGAAAAAGUGGCAAACUUUAUGCAGAAUGGAGACUUGGAUGCAGUUGAAGAUAAUGUCUAUGGCGUAGUAACUGAAAAUAAUGCUGAAGAAAUCAAGGGUAGAUUUGGAAACACUGAAGAAGUUCAAUUAAGAACUCCUUCGGGGCACUCUAAAAAUGUGCUUGAAGGAAGGGAUGUAACUAUGGCAGUUGAUCCCUCUCUUAGUAGGGAUGAUAGUUCACCAGCUGAAGGGCUAAGUUCUCUAUAUGACAAGGAUUUGGAUGUUAAGACAAAUGAAAGAGACUAUGAACUCGAUGUUAGUCAUCUCAAGUUUAUGCUGCAUCAGAAGGAGAUCGAAUUGUCACGGUUGAAAGAACAGAUUAAGAAAGAACAGCUUGCUUUGUCAAACUUGCAAACCAAGGCUGAAAUGGCAAUCAGCAAAGCACAAAAGCUUGUCUCUGAAAAAGAUGCAGAGUUACUUGCUGCUGAAGAAAGCCUUUCAGGAUUAGUGGAGGUUGAGAUCCAGUACGAGGGAGAUGGCGAGAUUGUGGAGGUGACUGGUAGCUUCAAUGGUUGGCAUCAUCAGAUUAAAAUGGAUCCAGAGUCAUCAUCUAGUAUCAUAGAACCCUUGAGGAAACCCAAACUUUGGUCAACAAUGCUGUGGCUUUAUCCAGGGACAUAUGAGAUAAAAUUCAUUGUUGAUGGCCAAUGGAAGAUUGAUCCUCAAAGAGAGUCAGUUACCAGGGGUACCAUAUGUAACAACAUUCUCCGCGUUGACAGAUGAAUUGGCUCUGGCUGGGAGGUCACUAUCUGCCUUUAACCGCGGUUGAAAGUGUUGCAGACAAGGAGCCAAAUCAUCUACUAUUUAUUUGGCCUGCUGUUUAGGUAAAGAGGCAAAAGUGAAGUUGAAGCAACCUAAGCCUAUGCCAUCGGAACAAGAAAGUGAAUUGAAGAAGAGACAGGCAGGCAAAGUCAAGGAUCUAUAUGGUCUUAUUCCGCGCAAUGUAUAUAUCUGCUACUCGCCAUGGCUUUCAAUUCCUAAUUUAUUCUUUUUCCUGGAAAGACUCGAUAUACUCAUAACCACGGCCGAAGCCAAGGGCAGUAGAGAAAGCCAUGAACAGGAUAACCAGCAAAGCAUAGGUAACCAAAGAGAAAAUAAGGGAAAACACCGAGAGACGUGGCAUAAGAGACCGAAACGUCAUCCCCUUACAGACUCCCAAAACUAGGUCUAGCUCGGAGGGCGAGGAAUGUGUGACCGAGUGUGGGGAGGAGGAGGAGUCGUCCAUGGGAUGCGCGACAGAAUGUCCUGCUGUCCAGGGACACGCCGAGCGGUUUUUACCUUUGGAAGUUGUAACAUCCCAAAAAGCCGAAGUGGCGCCAAUGCUAGCAUGAAGAGUUCGUGUGGGCGACAGUUGCUUGUUAGGAUUGCACCUGGCCUUCCAAAUGUACCAAAUAGGAAAAAGCGAUGUGGGUAAGGGAUCGCAAUCUAUCCUCCUUACUUCCCAGGUCUUCUGUCAAAACCGCACUGCUACAUUACUUAGAUGCAAGGUUUCAAGAUUUGCUUUGUUGUCGAACAACACUAUAAACUUUAAAGGCAAUCAACUGUAUACGAAAACGGUUUUGACU
Molecule: RNA transcript, 2764 nt
Organism: Malus domestica (apple)
Lineage: Eukaryota; Viridiplantae; Streptophyta; Magnoliopsida; Rosales; Rosaceae
Gene name: protein PTST homolog 3, chloroplastic-like
Source: RefSeq, a predicted model, not a curated record